Molecule: long non-coding RNA, 917 nt
Organism: Triticum dicoccoides
Lineage: Eukaryota; Viridiplantae; Streptophyta; Magnoliopsida; Poales; Poaceae
Exons: 4
Source: RefSeq, a predicted model, not a curated record
UACUGCAGUACUCCCGCGCUGCACACCGCUGCUGCUCCCCAACCACGGCGCUAUGAUGGUGCUUGCUCGCCUGGUCGCCGCCUCGUCUCGCCCAAUCUUGAUAUAGUCCGGGGCGGCGCCGGCACCGCUCGACCGCGUCGUUGCCUCCUCUGCGUCAUGAGAAGCGCCACCAUUGCCUCCACCCCCACUGGGCAAGGAGCUCGAGGUGUUUGGGGGUUCGUGUUUCCUACACAGGCCAAAACACUAUUGGAGCCUUGGAGUUUGAAACCAGUCGUUUGGAGCAGAUCAGCUCAAAAGAGAUCCUUUGUACCAUUUGCAGACUACCCAUCUCCCUCUGGCCUGGAGUCUCGCUCGCCUCUGUUUUCCCCCUGUGGACACACAUGAGACUCAGAUCUUGGCUCGUCGUAGAGGAAUCGAUAGCAAGAAUCAACCAGAGAAAGGAUGUACACAAGCCUCACGCAUACACACAGUGCACAUCCAGGCCGUGCAGUACACCAUGACCCUCUCACCUUUGCCCAUGCCUGUUAUACGUGUGCAAAGCAUGCCAAUAGUGCCCAGCACAGGAGCUGCACCCAUGCUACAUGCCCUGCUUUAUUUGUUACAGUUCUACACAAGUGGAAACCCCAAGCUAAAUUAUAGAGAACAAAAAUAGCUCACAGUCAGAGAUCAGAUUGAAUGAGGACCGGUGCUCUAAUUGAUUCUUUUGCAAGGAGGGGUUUCAGUGUUCAAACAUAAUGCAUUUCCAUUUUCAGUUUGACCAAACUUGUAUGCGGAGUAAAAGGAGAAGGUGGGGGUAUAACGACAUAUCCGUGAUUACAUGGUCAAAAUACAGACCUAGGAUAUUUGAAUGUUUCCAUAUAAAUGUUAUCCUCUACCCGCAAAAUAAUAAUAUAAAUGUAGUCGUCUUAUAUUUCGUA